This 2114-nucleotide ribosomal RNA is filed under the name Triticum aestivum (bread wheat). RNAcentral describes it as "partial small subunit ribosomal RNA". The record is from RNAcentral. Lineage: Eukaryota; Viridiplantae; Streptophyta; Magnoliopsida; Poales; Poaceae.
CCCCAAAGUAAAAUCAAUCCCCUCCUCCGUUCCACUCCACCCCAAUGGCGUCGCCGGAGCCGCCCUUCCCCGAUGCCCCUCCGCCGCCGCCCUGCCCCGACGCCCCGGCGGCUCCGCCCUGCAUCCCCGGCACCUUGCCGGCCUUGGAGGCGCAGGCGACCCUCCCGGGCCACGUCACGGAGGAGAUCCUCCUCCGCCUCCCCACGGCCGCCGACCUCGCCCGCGCGUCCAUGGCCGGCCCCGCCCUCCGCCGCAUCAUCGCCAACCACACCUUCCUCCGUCGCUUCCGCACCCUCCACCCGCCGCCUCUCCUGGGUAUACUCUCGGAUCCCUUCUUCCCAGCCCAGCCGCCCCACCCCUCCGCCGCCGCCGCCGGAACACUCGCAGGCACCGACUUCUCCUGCUCAUUCCUCCCCUCCCGCGAGCAGCGGUGGCGUCGCUGCGACUUCCGCGACGGCCGCGCCCUCCUCUGCAUCGACACCGACGGCGGUGCCAUGGUGAGGGACGUCGCCGUCUGCGACCCGCUGCACCGGCGCUACCUGCUGCUACCUCCCGUCCCCCAGGGCCUGCCCGAUCUGGUCCAUCACUUGGAUCCUUUCCUUGCUCCUGCCGGCAGAGACACUGCUGCGGGCGCUCCCUUGAGAUUCAAAGUCAUGUGCUUGGCCCAGUACCACACCCGCUUGGUCCUCCACGUCUACUCUUCAUCAGGCCCCCAUGCCGGACAAUGGCGCACCGUCACAUUUGAUGGCUGGGCCGCUCUCCUCGCAGGAGUCAGUGUCCAUGUGCGAUCCUCUGUUGCGUUCGGAAAGCGCUACUACGCGCACGGGUGCUUCUGUUGGCCGAUAUGUGCGAUCAACAAGUUGCUCUUGCUCGACACAGCUACCACCGAGUUCUCCUCCGUCGAUCUCCCGCCUGAUCUCAUGAAUCACCAGGUGGCCUUUGUGGAAGCAACCGAAGGGCGGCUUGGGAUGUUCGCUCUCAGCCAAGUUCCCACACACCUCGUGCCUCGCCUCCGGUAUUCCAUUUUGGUUUGCACCGGGGAUGACCCAGGGCGGUGGGAAAAGAAAAAGGUGGUCACAUUGUCCCAUGAUUACUGCUAUCAGAUCAUUGGUGUAGCUGGGGGGUACCUGCUCCUAUAUCUGGUUACAGACAACCCAGAUUCGUUCCCUCCGGGUAAAGUGCCGGACCCGGGCUGCUUUUCACUGAAUCUUCGCACUAUGGAUCUUGAGUGCUUCUCUCGGAAUAGAGAUAUACUGCCAUUGCUGGGCCAACUGUAUUCGGGCUUCCCGCGAUACUUGUCUCCACCAACUAUUUGAAACGGGCUUAAUCUGCUGGGUACAGGACCAAUUGACUCCAUUUGGAUUGUUCUUGACUUGAUCCAUCUCAUAUAAGGCAGUGCCAAGCCCGGUAAUUGAUGGAGUGCCUAGCAGCAGCAGCAGUGAUUAAGUUGCUUUGUUCCUCUUAUUUGGUGGACUGGAUGGAACCAUGUAUGUAUGUAUAUAUGUAUGCACAUCGUGUUAAUUCUGGCUAGCACGUGGAGAAGAAAUCUUCAUUCUUUCUCCUUUUUGCGGGAAAGGAGGCCUCUUCCUUCGCUUGCGCCUAUUGCUAUUGAUAAGAAUGCGAGGUUUAUAGACUGGACCCACAUCAGUAACGAGUUGGAGUAAUUGUUGAUUCUGAAGAAAUACAAAGCUUCUUUUUGCUAUACUGGACUAGUUGGUUUCUGAUCACAUACUAUCAUUGGAUUGCAUAUGGGACUUAUUCUGCGCCAGGCUGCUUACAUACAACUGCAAGAAAAGAUGGAUGACACACACACACACGCCCACACAUUUGCCUGUUCUCCAUGUGUCUUGUUUCAUUUAUGACCUUAUGUCUUCAAACAAUCUCUUCUUAAAUCUGUUGGAUUUGAUUAAUUAGAGAAGGUCAUGUUUGGGACUGCUCCAUCCCACCAAAAUCAGCUGUAUCAAAAUCGGUUCAUGACUCUCCAGUUGUUUGCUCCUCUAGUUGUUUGCUGGACAAGGCUGCGAUCUGGGGGCACAUCUAGGUGAAGUGAAAAAUUGUAGAUCAGAUGUUUUGUUUUGAGUAAUAUAUAGUAACCCCGUAUGCUGAUGUUUUCC